Molecule: ribosomal RNA, 301 nt
Filed under: uncultured bacterium
Lineage: Bacteria
Description: partial 16S ribosomal RNA
Rfam family: Bacterial small subunit ribosomal RNA
Source: RNAcentral
CAGUAGCCGCGGUAAUACGAAGGGUGCAAGCGUUACUCGGAAUUACUGGGCGUAAAGCGUGCGUAGGUGGUGGUUUAAGUCCGUUGUGAAAGCCCUGGGCUCAACCUGGGAAUUGCAGUGGAUACUGGGUCACUAGAGUGUGGUAGAGGAUAGUGGAAUUUCCGGUGUAGCAGUGAAAUGCGUAGAGAUCGGAAGGAACAUCUGUGGCGAAGGCGACUAUCUGGGCCAACACUGACACUGAGGUACGAAAGCAUGGGGAGCAAACAGGAUUAGAUACCCCAGUAGUCCCUGUCUCUUAUAC